Molecule: non-coding RNA, 553 nt
Organism: Ochotona princeps (American pika)
Lineage: Eukaryota; Metazoa; Chordata; Mammalia; Lagomorpha; Ochotonidae
Source: the annotation of a RefSeq genome assembly
CUGAGAUCAGUGUGUGUAACCACAAGCACUGUUCUAGCCAGAAAACCUCCCAGGAGGGCAUCUAAAGUGAGUGAUCGUGGCUGCCACGUGGUAAGAAGAAAAGAUGCUCCUGGAAAUUUUUGUGUGGAUUCUUUGGAGUCAACUGGCCUGGUUGAGUGCCCAGCAGCUAGAGCAGAGUCCUCAACUUCUAAGAAUCCAAGAGGGAGAAACUGCCAUAGUCUACUGCAACUCUUCAAGUGUGUUUCCUUCCUUGCAGUGGUAUAAACAGGAGCCUGGGACAGGGCUUACCCUCUUGCUGACAGUGGUCAAGGGUGGUGAAGUGAAGAAAGAGAAGAGAUUGACUGUUCAGUUUGGUGAAGCCAGAAAGGACAGCUCCUUGCACAUCACUGCAACCCAGCCGGAGGAUGUGGGUAACUACUUCUGCGCAGGACCACGGUGCUCUCAGGACACCUGCUGCCUGUACUCAAACCCAGUCACCCCACUGCCACCUGUUUUCAGCUUCUCCUCACACACCUGUAGCAUGAAAAACAAUAGCAAGUUCAGCCCUUCAUAG